GACGAACGCUGGCGGCGUGCCUAAUACAUGCAAGUAGAACGCUGAAGGAGGAGCUUGCUUCUCUGGAUGAGUUGCGAACGGGUGAGUAACGCGUAGGUAACCUGCCUGGUAGCGGGGGAUAACUAUUGGAAACGAUAGCUAAUACCGCAUAAGAGUAGAUGUUGCAUGACAUUUGCUUAAAAGGUGCAAUUGCAUCACUACCAGAUGGACCUGCGGUGUAUUAGCUAGUUGGUGGGGUAACGGCUCACCAAGGCGACGAUACAUAGCCGACCGGAGAGGGGGGUCGGCCACACUGGGACGGAGACAGGGCCCAGACUGCUACGGGUAGCAGCAGUAGGGAAACGUCGGCAAUGGGCGGGAGUCUGACCGAGCAACGCGGCGUGAGUGAGGAAGGUUUUCGGAUCGUAAAGCUCUGUUGUAAGGGAAGAACGAGUUUGAGAGUGGAAAGUUCACACUGUGACGGUAUCUUACCAGAAAGGAACGGCUAACUACGUG
Molecule: ribosomal RNA, 495 nt
Filed under: uncultured bacterium
Lineage: Bacteria
Description: partial 16S ribosomal RNA
Rfam family: Bacterial small subunit ribosomal RNA
Source: RNAcentral